UACGUAGGGACCGAGCGUUGUCCGGAUUCAUUGGGCGUAAAGAGCUCGUAGGCGGCCACUCAAGUCGAAUGUGAAACCUCGAGGCUCAACCUCGAGCCUGCAUUCGAUACUGGGCGGCUAGAGUCUGGUAGGGGAGUCGUGGAAUUCCUGGUGUAGCGGUGGAAUGCGCAGAGUAUCAGGAGGAACACCGGUGGCGAAGGCGGGAUCCGUGGGCCAGUACUGACGCUGAGGAGCGAAAGCGUGGGAGCAAACAGG
RNAcentral lists this ribosomal RNA (255 nucleotides) under uncultured bacterium. RNAcentral describes it as "partial 16S ribosomal RNA". It matches the Rfam family "Bacterial small subunit ribosomal RNA", at positions 524 to 776 of the family's 1533-position model. The record is from RNAcentral.